GACGAACGCUGGCGGCGUGCUUAACACAUGCAAGUCGAACGCUGAAGCUUGGUGCUUGCCCUGGGUGGAUGAGUGGCGAGCGGGUGAGUAAUACGUGAGUAACCUGCCCUUGACUCUGGGAUAAGCCUGGGAAACUGGGUCUAAUACUGGAUACGACAUGCCACUGCAUGGUGGUGUGUGGAAAGGGUUUUACUGGUUUUGGAUGGGCUCACGGCCUAUCAGCUUGUUGGUGGGGUAAUGGCCUACCAAGGCGACGACGGGUAGCCGGCCUGAGAGGGUGACCGGCCACACUGGGACUGAGACACGGCCCAGACUCCUACGGGAGGCAGCAGUGGGGAAUAUUGCACAAUGGGCGGAAGCCUGAUGCAGCGACGCCGCGUGAGGGAUGACGGCCUUCGGGUUGUAAACCUCUUUCAGCACGGAAGAAGCGAGAGUGACGGUACGUGCAGAAGAAGCGCCGGCUAACUACGUG
This 472-nucleotide ribosomal RNA is filed under the name uncultured bacterium. Its description in RNAcentral is "partial 16S ribosomal RNA". It matches the Rfam family "Bacterial small subunit ribosomal RNA", at positions 28 to 507 of the family's 1533-position model. The record is from RNAcentral.